UACGUAGGGGGCGAGCGUUGUUCGGAUUUACUGGGCGUAAAGAGCGCGUAGGUGGUCCGAUAAGUCGGAGGUGAAAUCCCUCGGCUCAACCGAGGACCCGCGUCCGAUACUGUUGGACUUGAGUGCAGGAGAGGAGAGCGGAAUUCCCAGUGUAGCGGUGAAAUGCGUAGAUAUUGGGAGGAACACCGGUGGCGAAGGCGGCUCUCUGGACUGCUACUGACACUGAGGCGCGAAAGCUAGGGGAGCAAACGGG
Molecule: ribosomal RNA, 253 nt
Filed under: uncultured bacterium
Lineage: Bacteria
Description: partial 16S ribosomal RNA
Rfam family: Bacterial small subunit ribosomal RNA
Source: RNAcentral